AACGCGAAGAACCUUACCAAGGCUUGACAUACACCGGAAACGGCCAGAGAUGGUCGCCCCCUUGUGGUCGGUGUACAGGUGGUGCAUGGCUGUCGUCAGCUCGUGUCGUGAGAUGUUGGGUUAAGUCCCGCAACGAGCGCAACCCUUGUCCCGUGUUGCCAGCAACUCUUCGGAGGUUGGGGACUCACGGGAGACCGCCGGGGUCAACUCGGAGGAAGGUGGGGACGACGUCAAGUCAUCAUGCCCCUUAUGUCUUGGGCUGCACACGUGCUACAAUGGCCGGUACAAUGAGCUGCGAUACCGUGAGGUGGAGCGAAUCUCAAAAAGCCGGUCUCAGUUCGGAUUGGGGUCUGCAACUCGACCCCAUGAAGUCGGAGUUGCUAGUAAUCGCAGAUCAGCAGUGCUGCGGUGAAUACGUUCCCGGGCCUUGUACACACCG
RNAcentral lists this ribosomal RNA (439 nucleotides) under uncultured bacterium. Its description in RNAcentral is "bacterial SSU rRNA". It matches the Rfam family "Bacterial small subunit ribosomal RNA", at positions 958 to 1392 of the family's 1533-position model. The record is from RNAcentral.